UAUUCGUGCUUCAUUCGAUAGGCAAAAGUGCAAGUGUUCGGUCGGUAGCGCUCGCACGCUAACUUUUGGCUACCCCUUAAAGGCGUAAAAUUGACCCGUUAUUGAGAACCUUCGCGAUCUGUCAAAUAACGGGUCAUUUUGACGAGUCAAUAUUACCCCUUAUUCCGAACAAGUAGCGAACGCUUCAAAAAGGGUAACUUUGGAACUUGUCAUUUGGUACGUUACUUUUUCCAUCGAAUUGUUUGUGCAGAAAGAUUUUGAUCUGAACAUCAGCAGGCCGCGGUUGAGGACCCGUUAAAUCCAAAUAAAAAAUAUUCAACCACAAUUGAUGCGGUUAAGAAAGUUUUUGGGACAUUAAACACGAUGGAUGAACCACAAUACCGGCCCAGGAAGCAUCGGAAAAACAUCAACAUUUCGACGAAAAAAAAACAUCUUGUGGAAAAAAACAAUAUUGAUGGAAAAUAUUGAAGUGUUAAUGAUUCAAGACAAUUAAGUGUUCAAUUAUUGGCAUUUUAACAAACAGAAUGGAAUAUUAUUCAUUUGGUUUGAUUUUUUUCUCUGCAAACGAAAAUGCUUUUAGCUAAUACACAAACCUCCACCAAGCUCAAGCGUUUCAAAUAAGGGGUAAUUUUCAUCCGCUACAAGCGUUAUCAUACUGAGUACCCCCUAAAAGGGUAAAGUGACUCUAUCCGUAAAAAGGAGUUAUCCCAGUCUUAUCGAAUAACGGGUCAUAAGUAUUCGUUAAGGGGUAGCCAAAAGCAGGUACUAUCGGCUUCUGAGAAAUUUUGGGGGCAAAACACUAGCGCCAAAAUAAAAAUUACGAGUAGGGCUUUAACCAUUAAUUAGAAAAUUUUAACAGCAUGCUUUGAAGUUUUGGUUUACACCACAAUCGAUUGGAGCUUUGAAAUCAAAUUUUUUCAAAUCCCUGUCUUCACAAUUCGGACGAAGAGCUGGAAGUCUGGGUCAAAAGCCUCGAACGGGAUUCGGAGAAUCGUGAAGAAAUCACCGGCUUAGAUUGUUUUCUCAAAAUAACACCCACUUCUCAGAAAAUGAUACUGGUGAAAACCAAAUCUUUGCCAAGGCAGUGGCUAUUCGAGACGACGACGACGGAGAUGCAUACAAAUAUCGUCAUGACAAAGUGAAUCCACGUUAUCGAAGCGUACCCUACCAAUCUCGUUGCCCCUUGCGAACGCAUAGACACUGGCGAAACGCUAAAGUCGGUGUCGUUCCCCGAAGGAAUGAAGGAUGAAGUGCUAAAAAUCGAUCCACAUCCGGACGAAAUGUCGUCACCAUACAAACCGCCGGCAGACAAGGCUAAUCCUCGACCACAAUUCCACUACCGGAAUAUGCCGAGGCGUGCACGAAAAUAAUGAUAAUAAAUAACAAAGCCAGUUUAAAAAUGUGUGUCCGAUAAUAAAGCCUUUUAGAAAUUUAAUUUCUUUUUUGUUGAAUUUAUAUGUGAGAACUUUCCUUUAAAUGGUGGGAAAAGUCUUUUACAGUUGGCAUAUCAAAAUUGAAGAUUGAAUAUUUAUAUUUAUAUUUUAAUUGUUCAUAUUUUAUUCAUAUUUGCUUAUUCAUAUUCGUACAGAACAGCUGCAGUUCGUCAUCACAUCCAAAUAGGAUAAGGUUCGGACCACGGUUUUUAACACAUGAUGCAAGAACCUGUUAGAACCAGAAAAAUAAAACUGCAAAAGUAAUGUGUUUU
Molecule: long non-coding RNA, 1705 nt
Organism: Uranotaenia lowii
Lineage: Eukaryota; Metazoa; Arthropoda; Insecta; Diptera; Culicidae
Exons: 4
Source: RefSeq, a predicted model, not a curated record